This is a long non-coding RNA of Zalophus californianus (California sea lion), 372 nucleotides long. RefSeq lists it as uncharacterized. The transcript has 3 exons. Lineage: Eukaryota; Metazoa; Chordata; Mammalia; Carnivora; Otariidae. The record is from RefSeq and is a predicted model, not a curated record.
AGAUAUUUAAGUUGUGCCCUCCUAGGACUACCAGAUACUUUUACCUUUACUUGCUCAUAGACAGCUCAGCUGAGUUUGAAAGGGAUCCACACAUAAUAAAAGCUCCGCUAAUAAAAAGUUGUUAUAUUGAAAAUGGUGACAUCUGCUGUUAUUCACUGAAAAGUCUCAAGCUUUGUGCAAUGGCAGCAUUCGAGGAGCGAUUAUUGCUAAUUGAAAACUAUCACCUUCACAAAUCUCAGCAAAAACUUAUGGUCUUCUCCUACCUCAUACCACAAAGAAAUAUCAAAUCUAAUUGGAUUGAAGAUCCCCAUGUGAAAUGAAAAACCAAUACAUUUCUAGAAGAUAAAAUAGGAGAAUAUCUUCAUGGCCUUG